This 1397-nucleotide long non-coding RNA is filed under the name Gossypium barbadense (sea-island cotton). Its description in RNAcentral is "long non-coding RNA (GBAR_LNC008395)". The record is from RNAcentral. Lineage: Eukaryota; Viridiplantae; Streptophyta; Magnoliopsida; Malvales; Malvaceae.
GACAUUUCACCAAAAUGUUUUUGGAAAGAUGAUUUUUUAAAGUAGUUGUAAGACAAUUAAUGAGAUAUACAAUACGGUGACAUGCAAAUGACCAAAAGGAUGAUGCUUCAUGUAAAAGAGUUUUAGCUGUUUCUAUAAUGUGCUUAUGAUGUCUUUUUGUUAGAGAAACUUGUUAAGGGGUAUAUGGGGGAGAUAUCAGAUGCUUGGUGCUGUUUGGUUGAAGAUCUGACUCAAAGCUUUUAUAUUCACCCCUUCCAUCAAUGUAGAUAGAAAUUAUGUGUUGAAAACCUUUUCCAUUGGUGGAGUGAAUUUCUGAAAGAUGGAUUUGAUUUCACUUUGGUUUUGAAGUGUAAACAACCAAAUAUAUUUGGUACAUUGGUCUAUAAAGUUCCAAUAAUAUAGCUUUUUUAUCAAUAAAAAUGAAAAAUGAAGGUCCUCCUAAGUCACUAAACAAUGUUUUUAGGGGAGCAUCACUGGACUGAGUUAGUUUAUAAGAAAGAAAUCGAUGAAUUUUAUUGGAACAACUUGAAUGUAGUAAGUAAAUUUGUGUUCGCGAACAAAAAGGAGAGAAAUCUUCUUCAAAAUAAAAUUGCGAGCUUGGAAAUGAGGAUGUCCUAGAUGAUGAUGCCAAACAUAAACAGGUACUUUGGUAGUGGUGAAAUUGGCAGUAUGCGAUGAUGUGGAGUAUUUUUUUAUUCUGGUUGCACCCUAGUGGAAUCCGUGUUUGCAGGUCCUUCACAUGAAAAUGUAAAAGAAAGAAUUCAAUAGAAGUUGAGUUAUCUUGGCAAAAUCUAGAAACAAAAUAAGAUUUUGCUUUCCAGCAGGCACAACAAGACUGUUAAAUAGCCUGAAAACAUUACUUGAUGCAUUUAACUUAGUAGAAUCUGUGUAAGUAAUGGGAAUUGUUUUACCAUCUCCCCUUGAUAUUUUGUCAUGGCUAGUACGCUCCUGAAGGUUGUGAGGUGUUGGUGCCUGAGCCCAAGUUCCAUGUGUUGGCAUCCAAUUGAAGAUCGGAGGCAACAUUGGCUUUUAUUGCUAAAUGGUUAUGGAUCCUGAGAGACUUAGCUUGCAAUAUGACUUCUCUGGUUGCAAAGUUGGCAGUGAAUGAGGUGUUGGGACAAUAAGACUGCCAGUUUUGUUGGUUGUUGGAGCUGGUGGAUCAAGGCAUUGAGGAGCAUCGGUUUUGGUUAAGUGUGAGUUGUCGGUUGUUCUGAUUGAUUGGCUAGAAGAGGGGUGUUUUUCUUUUUUUGUGCGGUGGCAGCAAUAAUGAGAGAAGAUGGUUUGUGAAGAUCUUGAUGUCUGAGGAAAAGCUCGUGAUUAGUGAGCUUGUGCAAUGGAAAUCUCAUGAUAUUCAGGGCCAAUAUGCUUCUUCAGCUACAGGAGAACCAACAACUUUG